Molecule: ribosomal RNA, 253 nt
Filed under: uncultured bacterium
Lineage: Bacteria
Description: partial 16S ribosomal RNA
Rfam family: Bacterial small subunit ribosomal RNA
Source: RNAcentral
UACGUAGGGUGCAAGCGUUGUCCGGAAUUAUUGGGCGUAAAGAGCUCGUAGGCGGUUCGUCGCGUCGGCUGUGAAAUCCCGAGGCUCAACCUCGGGCCUGCAGUCGAUACGGGCGGACUUGAGUUCGGCAGGGGAGACUGGAAUUCCUGGUGUAGCGGUGAAAUGCGCAGAUAUCAGGAGGAACACCGGUGGCGAAGGCGGGUCUCUGGGCCGAUACUGACGCUGAGGAGCGAAAGCGUGGGGAGCGAACAGG